AUCACAAAUGAAAUAGUCCACCAUUUAUAGUAUAAUCCACAUAAUAUCUUGUACAACUUCUCUUUGUAGUGUUCAUACACCCCUUCCCCAAUAGAUAAACAAUUCUUGUGCCUGUUUACAUCGGUCAUUCUUGUAGUGAAAACUCUAAUUGAAUGAAACACAGAAUUUUUCAGGGAAAGAGGUCUAAGAGAGUUACAAUUGACUUAUUACAACAUAUCGUAUCCAUAGUUCAAAAGAAAGUUCAAGUUUGCAAUAUUUAUACCAUCCAUAAGCAAACCUCACUCUUGAUUUGGUUAUUAGCCAAGCACAAUGCAACUCAUUCAUAUGCAUAGAAUGAUUCCAGUAAAAUCUACGAAAAAAGAAGAUCAAGUCAAUUUACGAAUGCCGGUUCAGCAUCCACGUAUGACAAAACAAUUUGUUCAUACACGAAACAAAAAUAAAUAUAUGCUUUCCAUCGGAUUUUUAAUUUAUCUACAAUUACUUGAAAACUCUUUCCACUUAUUCCUUGCAUUGGGUAGAAACCGUGAGUAUAACUUCUGAGAUACUCAUUUAUCAUCAACAUUUGAUCAAGGUCAAUAAUUUUCUAUAUUUCCAUUCUUAUGUUACUUAAAUUACUACGCCAUCCAACUUUUUUUCCCUUAUGCUAGCACAGAAGUUCUGUAAAGUGUAAAGCAUGUAUCAAUAAUCAUCAUGGUCAAAUAACUAUUUUUUGUAGUCAAAUUAAUUUUGCACACACGAAACAGUGUAAGAAUCUAUGAAAAAUGUGAAAAUGUAUUAAAAUAAAUGUGUUAAAUUACCAACACCAACGACACAGUGCAAUAACUUAAUUAUACAUUUAGAACCUAUCUAAAGCAGCACCGAAGAUAAUCACAAUGAGUGCAACUUACUUGAAAUGCUUUCCGAACCAUUCAGACAUGUCUUGGUUAGUCACGUCAGCUAAUUUUAUACUCAUUUCCACGUAACUCUCUUAACCAAUUUCCAAAAGUAAAAGUUGAUGAGUGUCUGUGAAGUCACAAAGCGGACACCAUGU
Molecule: long non-coding RNA, 1030 nt
Filed under: Solanum tuberosum (potato)
Lineage: Eukaryota; Viridiplantae; Streptophyta; Magnoliopsida; Solanales; Solanaceae
Description: long non-coding RNA (STUB_LNC011426)
Source: RNAcentral